GAGCUUCUAUUGCUCAUUUUGGCAAAUUGUCUGUGAAGAUUAGCAUGGCCCCUGUGGGAGGAUAACAUGCAAAUUCAUGAGGUGUUCAUAUUUUAU
This 96-nucleotide small nuclear RNA is filed under the name Castor canadensis (American beaver). The record is from RNAcentral. Lineage: Eukaryota; Metazoa; Chordata; Mammalia; Rodentia; Castoridae.